RNAcentral lists this ribosomal RNA (771 nucleotides) under uncultured Neocallimastigales. RNAcentral describes it as "partial large subunit ribosomal RNA". It matches the Rfam family "Eukaryotic large subunit ribosomal RNA", at positions 22 to 643 of the family's 3401-position model. Lineage: Eukaryota; Fungi; Neocallimastigomycota; Neocallimastigomycetes; Neocallimastigales. The record is from RNAcentral.
GUACACGCUGUGACUAGCAUAUCAAUAAGCGGAGGAAAAGAAACUAACAAGGAUUCCCUCAGUAACGGCGAGUGAAGCGGGAAGAGCUCAAAUUUGAAAUCUUGAAAGGUCACCUUUCACGAAUUGUAGUUUAAAGAAGUGUUUUCUGUUACGAUCGUAAUAUAAGUUCUUUGGAAUAGGACAUCAUAGAGGGUGAGAAUCCCGUAUUGACCUUGGACUUGUCAGCUUUGUGAUACACUUUCAAAGAGUCGGGUUGUUUGGGAAUGCAGCCCAAAACGGGAGGUAAAUUUCUUCUAAGGCUAAAUAUUGGCGAGAGACCGAUAGCGAACAAGUACCGUGAGGGAAAGAUGAAAAGAACUUUGAAAAGAGAGUUAAAUAGUACGUGAAAUUGUCAAAAGGGAAGCGUUUAACACCAGUGUUGUUUUCUGAAAAUCAACCUCUGUUAGCUUUAUGCAUGUUUGUUUAGACCUAAUCAGCUAUCUUGCAUGUUCUAUUGUUUGCAGUGGUGCACUUUUCAGUUUACAGGUCAACAUCAGUUUUUUUUACCGUAAAAAAGUUAAAGAAAGGUAGCUCAUGGCUCCGGUCGUGAGUGUUAUAGUCUUUUUCCUAUGCGGUAGGAGAGACUGAGGUCUGCAGUGUAGGCUAUUUGGCUAGAUACUCAGGUGCUAUGUGAUACCAUUUCAUAAACAACUUGUUGAUUAUGUUUUGUCUAUUGCAUACUCGCUUGUACUAUCAUACCUACGCUUAGGAUGUUGAACUACUGAGACAUAG